ACUCCUACGGGAGGCAGCAGUGGGGAAUCUUGCGCAAUGGGCGAAAGCCUGACGCAGCCAUGCCGCGUGAAUGAUGAAGGUCUUAGGAUUGUAAAAUUCUUUCACCGGGGACGAUAAUGACGGUACCCGGAGAAGAAGCCCCGGCUAACUUCGUGCCAGCAGCCGCGGUAAUACGAAGGGGGCUAGCGUUGCUCGGAAUUACUGGGCGUAAAGGGAGCGUAGGCGGACAUUUAAGUCAGGGGUGAAAUCCCGGGGCUCAACCUCGGAAUUGCCUUUGAUACUGGGUGUCUUGAGUAUGAGAGAGGUGUGUGGAACUCCGAGUGUAGAGGUGAAAUUCGUAGAUAUUCGGAAGAACACCAGUGGCGAAGGCGACACACUGGCUCAUUACUGACGCUGAGGCUCGAAAGCGUGGGGAGCAAACAGGAUUAGAUACCCUAGUAGUCCCAU
Molecule: ribosomal RNA, 447 nt
Filed under: uncultured organism
Description: partial 16S ribosomal RNA
Rfam family: Bacterial small subunit ribosomal RNA
Source: RNAcentral